Nannospalax galili (Upper Galilee mountains blind mole rat) is the source of this 166-nucleotide small nuclear RNA. Its record names the gene U1. It matches the Rfam family "U1 spliceosomal RNA". Rfam says of the family: U1 is a small nuclear RNA (snRNA) component of the spliceosome (involved in pre-mRNA splicing). Its 5' end forms complementary base pairs with the 5' splice junction, thus defining the 5' donor site of an intron. Lineage: Eukaryota; Metazoa; Chordata; Mammalia; Rodentia; Spalacidae. The record is from Ensembl.
AUAGUUACCAUGUAGAAAAUAUAUCCCCAUCACAAAAGUGUUUGUUUCCCAUGUGAGGCUCACACAUUGCACUGUAGUUGUCUUGGCCCAUGAGGUUUCCCCAAAUGCAGGAAACUCAGUUGCAUAAUUUUCAGUAGAAAGAAAAAAACAGGAAUCUUGCUUUUUU